GAAGCACGCCAGACUGCCGCUGGUGCAAGGGUGGAAACACCGCACUGGAGGAAGGUCCGGACUGCAAAGGGCGGCGUAGCAGCUAACCGCUGUCCACCGUGAGGUGAGGAUCAGAGCUACAGAGACGAGUCGGACCGGGGCAACCCGGGACGGGUGAAACGAGCAAUCUCUACGCGCAGCAAUACCAAGUAGGCACACGUUGACGGGGCCCCCGGAGUGUGCGGGUAGGUAGCACCGAGCCGUCUGGCGACAGGCGGCCCAGAUUAAUGGCAGUCACGGGGCGGCAACCGCAAGGAAGCCGCCCUGCACAAAAUCCGGCCUAUCGGCGGGCUUCACAC
This 338-nucleotide RNase P RNA is filed under the name Burkholderiales bacterium. Its description in RNAcentral is "RNase P RNA component class A". It matches the Rfam family "Bacterial RNase P class A". From Rfam's summary of the family: Ribonuclease P (RNase P) is a ubiquitous endoribonuclease, found in archaea, bacteria and eukarya as well as chloroplasts and mitochondria. The record is from RNAcentral. Lineage: Bacteria; Pseudomonadati; Pseudomonadota; Betaproteobacteria; Burkholderiales.